AAAAAAGUUGGCAUUGCUCCAUAAGCAAAAUUAGUCACAUCUAAUCAGACGUAUCAGUCUUGGUAUUAACCAGAAAUGAUAAAAAUGAAAAAGAUAAGAUGAGACUCCACAAAGCACAAUACAAAAUUUAACUAACUACUUUUAAGGAUGACGACUUCUCAUCAUUGAAAACAUUGAUGUAGCACACUACAGCACCACCCAUAGCAACCAACGAUUCCAAUCAAGAUCCUCGACAUCUAAAUGCCCACUUAAAUGUUGCUUGGGUACAUGAAAACCCUAACCUUGGCUCCCAUUGAUUUAGGAGGCAAAUUGGACUUGAACUUAGCUCUAACAACGCCACUGUUUCCAUGUGGCCUGCAAACUUUGCCCCAAAUGCAACGAUAGUGCGAGUUAUUCUUCUUUGUCUUUGCCUUGUAGAUGUAUCCCAGCCUCUUCCCAAGGUACCAGUCCACUUCUUCCUUAGUGUUCACUCCCUCGAUCUGAAUCAACGAAGUGUUGGGAUACUGGUUCGAUUUCGACCUUUUGUAUCCAAGAACAGUCCCUCUAACGUAGAGCCUAAUGCGUUCUCCUUGGCGUCCCUUCACCAUU
RNAcentral lists this unclassified non-coding RNA (588 nucleotides) under Hevea brasiliensis (rubber tree). Lineage: Eukaryota; Viridiplantae; Streptophyta; Magnoliopsida; Malpighiales; Euphorbiaceae. The record is from RNAcentral.